This is a long non-coding RNA of Puntigrus tetrazona (Sumatra barb), 4159 nucleotides long. RefSeq lists it as uncharacterized. The transcript is spliced from 2 exons. The record is from RefSeq and is a predicted model, not a curated record. NCBI's taxonomy places the organism in Eukaryota, Metazoa, Chordata, Actinopteri, Cypriniformes, Cyprinidae.
GGCUGAGGACUCUGUGUACCUACAGUUUGCUUUCUAACCGACUGCGUGUGCUUGCGUGUGGGUUCGGGAGCAAAUGCAGGGGGGGCGGGCAAACGAGUGCGAGAGAGGGAGAGAAAGAUGAGAAGAAGAAAAAAAAAAUGUACGGCGGAAAGACUGAUUAUUCUGGAAGUUAACUCAUAUUGCACUCAAGAAGGGACUCGAGAUUUUGGAGGCUACUUUUUGAUAGGAAAAAAAAAAUCUUGGUCGUUAAAAUCACUAUUCUCAAAACAGCAAGUUGGCUCUGGUGACCUUACAGUGAGGGAACACCUCGUGAGUUUGACUGACGAAGAGACGCACUGAUGGAGAAGUGAAAGUCGUUCGGCUCUGACCCCGAACAAUGAGCUCCAACGUGACGGGAGCAGACAGCCGCCAUCAUGGAAAUGUCACGGCCAACAUCAGAGACCCGGCAGCCUCCUCUUUCAUUCCCUUAAUCCACAAUCCCUCCUCUCCUCUCCUGAGCGGCAUACAUAUUCAGCAGCUCAAGUCCUCACCAUUCUAAUGAGGCCUAGACCAGCGGGCUAUGAAAGAGAGGAGAGAUACAGGGAGGUGGGUGGGUGAGUGAGCGGGGGGUUUAAAAGAGAGGAGAGACCGUCUUUGAACUCCCAAAGAAAGAGAGAGGAUGAGGAUGAAUAGAUGGAUGGCUGAAGUGAUGAGACAAGGAGUGAGAGGAGAGACAGAUCAAAUGCUUCUGAUUCUUUCCUGGUCUUUACACAGCAGGGUUAGUUGUGUUCGAUUUAAAUGCCGCUUUAAGAGAGCGUCCUGUUAUAUUUCAUCACUCGAUUCACUUGAGACACUUAAGACUGAAGUGUGUCUUUAUGUUUGAUCUGUUCCAGUUUAAAGGGAUCCAAAAUGGCAGUUUUAUCGUCAUUCAUGUUGUUCCAAACCCGCAUGACUUCAAUUGUUCCAAAAAUUGUUAAGCAGAGCAUUCACACCACGCCGUUCCGCACUUCUCUGACCACAGGUUAGGAUUGAUACGCAAGUGAUUUUAUUUUUCAAUGACCAUGCAGAGACACUUAUAGUUUAAGGCAGGUCUUUUGGUUUGCCCGGCCAAUGGCAGACGAGGAAGUAUGGAAAGAUUCUUUUUGCAGCUUCCUUCGGCAUAAAUACAAGAACCAAACGAGACAGACCAACGAAUAAAAAAAGCUAUAACUUUACAAGUCGAAUAAUCUCCUGAGGUAGUGAAGAAAUCUAAAAUGAAAAUGCAUGCAUUUAACAGAAGCUAUUAUCCAAAGCGACUUACAAAAGAGACUACAAAAGUAAUUGAUCGAAGACAGAUUCCAAAAUAUCGUCAUCGGUCUAAUUAGGUCAAUUUUAGGCAUAUUUUAGAAACAGAGAAGUACAAACAAAAUGCUUUCAACAAAAAUAAAAAAAUAAAAAAUAGGCAUAUUUUAUAAUUUAAUCUUUAUUCACUAUUUUAUAGCGAAGGACUGGUAUUUUUAAGUAGUUACACAAUUCCAGUUCCACAUUUCAAAAUAUUUUAGAACUGUAAGUACUUUAUAAAAUUAAUGUGAACUAACUGAAAUAACAUAUAUACUUUCUAUAUAUUUGCACAUUUAAAAAAAAUGAAUUUAUUCAUAUAUAAAUGAACGCACAGUUUCCUAAUUGCUCUUAAAACUUGCUGUAAAUCUGCAGUACAAUAUCCGCAGUCACGCUGGCUAUAAAUACAUACAUUUUCGGCGAUCAGUAUCAUCUAAAAUUUCUCUAUCAGCGCAUUCCUAGUUCAAAGCCUCAAAAAGGAGACGUUUUUAGCUGCAACUAAAGCAGUCUCUGGGCAUAUCUGCUCAAAUGAAUGCUGUAGUGGUGUGAAAUUGGUCAUUUUCAGCACUCCUACACUCUUGUAAAAGUAGAAGAGGGUGCCUGAGGUCUAUUUUCCCCUCCUCACACACAGCUAGCAGCGGGAGGCAGGAAGCGUGGCCUGAAAGACUCGCUGGACGCGCUAUCAGAAGGGGAAGUUCCCGUUCGCAUUCGCCGCUUUACAAACCAGAUGUUUCAUGGCCUGGAUCUGGUUAUUGGAACAGAGCGAUAGUGCCAAAUGUGAAGCGAGUGCACUUCAGUCCGACGCUGUGAGCAAGCGCGCUUCAGAUAAAUGAGGGAAAUCAGGAUCGCAUGCUAAUGUGUUUGAAUUUUUAACAGAGGAUAGAGGACCACGAUGCAUUCGCUUGCAUUUGAGGGAGGCUUUACACACACGUGCAAACCAGUCCGCCGGUCGUCCAUUGUUGGUGUGAGCAGGUGUGUGAAAGGUGAUAACAGAGUCUGCUCUGGGGUUCACCAAGGCUGGGGAUUCAGCUGCUCCCAAACACACAUACACACACACACACACACGCACAUAUAUACAGGCCACCAGCCGUUAAACCGUUCCACUUAGCUGAAACCAGGUGCAAUAACCCAACGCUAGAGCUCUUGGUUUCAGUAAAGACCUAGUUCAAGUCAGUAUAUGAACGGUGUUUGUUAAUACAGCUAGGGUUGCACGAUUAUCGGUGGGAGAAAUUCACGUUUAUGACUUCUGUCACACUGUAAUCAAUCAAAGAUUUUGUAGUUGUAUUAAUUGGCUGUUAGUGAAUUAGUUUAAAAUGAAAUUACACCCAGAAAGCAAGCAAUGUAACAAUAGUAUAACAUACCUAUCACAUGUGCAACUGAACUAAUGUGAUGGUAUACAUUGUGCACCAAAAUUGAUAUCUUAAUUAAUUUACAGUGUAGUAUUUAAUACUGGAGGGACAGUUAUUUAGAGAACUCUAUUCUUUUAUUUUUUAUUUAAUGUUGCAUUUUUGGUACCCUUGCGAAAAGACUUUAACAUACUUUAAUAUAAUAUAUAAUAUAUACGCUUUCUUUUAAGUACAACUGGAUUGUUUCUGCAAGUACUGGUUUUUUUUAAAGGUGCUAUAUACGUUGGAUUGACACCGAGUGGUUGAAUUAGAUAUUGCAGUUCAAAUUUUAAAUAUAGGGUUUUUUCACCCAACCAAUUUAUCGAUUGACAGUACUAAUUAUAGUAGCUGUUCUUAGAUUUUUAACAACUAAAAAUAGUUAAAUUAUGAAGGUUUUUAUGAGAGUUAUUUUUAAAUGUGUAUCAGAUGAAGGCAAUCUAACUAUAAAUAAGAGAAUGCAUGCAAUCAGUAUACAAUAUUGGAAGUUAUGUACACAAUAAGAAAAAAUUAAGCAUUGCGGGGUUUUUUCUUUUUUACAAAAAUUUUAAUUAGUCACAUAACCAACAAUAAUUGUCUCCAGCAGUCCGCCCUUUUGAAGACUCCUGUGCUCAACAGGCAUGUCUGUGGCCGCUAAGAGCAAUUCCAGCUAAAAACGCUUAAUUGCAGCCGUAAUCGUAACCUUGACUAUUUGAUUAGUUCUGCAGCCCUAAACGUUUCCUUCCUUAAACGUUUUCUUUCUUUCUUUCUUUGUGUCAUAAAGUGAUGUCAAAUGCCCGUCCAUACGAACCCACAUCCAAAAGAACCGCUCAGACUUACGCUCCCUUUUCAUUGUCAUACCUCGCAUGAUAUUCUAAUCAGGGAUUUUUGAAAUCCCCCAGCAUACUCAGCCCUCUUGAUUUCUGUGCCAAAGAAGAGAGUGGGGGGGGUGGAGAGAAAAAAGACAGCAUAUAGUGUGUUUAAAAGUCGCCGGGAUUGGUUGUGUAGUUUGGAGGAGCAGUCAAAUGGGAGCGUGCAUUAAUAAUGCAUGCCUGCCUCAAAGAGCUCUCACACAGGAAACACAGACUGGGGUUCAGAUCAGGGUAAAGAGAACAGGCCUGGAGAGAGAGAGAGAGAGAGAGAGAGACAUUAAAAGAAGAGUAAAAGCCAGGAAUCGCUGAGGUUUAUUGGGAUUUAACCCCCUGUAUUUAGUCUCUUGUUUGCGUUGUGUUUUCCGUAUUUUAAAGGUCUCAUGAGACAAUGCGUGGCGCUUUUAGUCAUGAGUUGACGUACUUCCAGCUGAAAAAAAGACGUUUGGGUGAGAUGCUAGAUAUGUUACUUGCUAGUCAGUUGCAGGCGUUAUUGGGGGGCGGGGCAUUCGCAUUCCAAAAAACAUCUGAUUGGACAAAAAUCUGCGUAGUGCGGGAUGAGUCAUCGCCUUUCAACUUUUAGGAUUAAACUAGCACUCAAUCGCUAAUAAACGUGAUUAAAAUUCAAAGAAA